CCUACGGGAGGCUGCAGUGGGGAAUAUUGGACAAUGGGGGGAACCCUGAUCCAGCCAUGCCGCGUGUGUGAAGAAGGCCCUCGGGUUGUAAAGCACUUUCAGUGAGGAAGAACGCCUGGUGGUUAAUACCCAUCAGGAAAGACAUCACUCACAGAAGAAGCACCGGCUAACUCCGUGCCAGCAGCCGCGGUAAUACGGAGGGUGCGAGCGUUAAUCGGAAUUACUGGGCGUAAAGCGCGCGUAGGUGGCUUGAUAAGCCGGUUGUGAAAGCCCCGGGCUCAACCUGGGAACGGCAUCCGGAACUGUCAAGCUAGAGUGCAGGAGAGGAAGGUAGAAGUCCCGGUGUAGCGGUGAAAUGCGUAGAGAUCGGGAGGAAUACCAGUGGCGAAGGCGGCCUUCUGGACUGACACUGACACUGAGGUGCGAAAGCGUGGGUAGCAAACAGGAUUAGAUACCCGAGUAGUC
RNAcentral lists this ribosomal RNA (465 nucleotides) under Vreelandella stevensii. RNAcentral describes it as "partial 16S ribosomal RNA". It matches the Rfam family "Bacterial small subunit ribosomal RNA", at positions 338 to 795 of the family's 1533-position model. Lineage: Bacteria; Pseudomonadati; Pseudomonadota; Gammaproteobacteria; Oceanospirillales; Halomonadaceae. The record is from RNAcentral.